RNAcentral lists this ribosomal RNA (109 nucleotides) under Neogale vison (American mink). The record is from RNAcentral. Lineage: Eukaryota; Metazoa; Chordata; Mammalia; Carnivora; Mustelidae.
GGCCAUACCACCCUGAACGCGCCCGAUCUCGUCUGAUCUCGGAAGCUAAGCAGGGUCGGGCCUGGUUAGUACUUGGAUGGGAGAAUAUAACUUCUGGGUGAUAAUUUCA